CACUCCUACGGGAGGCAGCAGUGGGGAAUAUUGGACAAUGGGCGCAAGCCUGAUCCAGCCAUGCCGCGUGAGUGAUGAAGGCCCUAGGGUUGUAAAGCUCUUUCACCGGUGAAGAUAAUGACGGUAACCGGAGAAGAAGCCCCGGCUAACUUCGUGCCAGCAGCCGCGGUAAUACGAAGGGGGCUAGCGUUGUUCGGAUUUACUGGGCGUAAAGCGCACGUAGGCGGACUAUUAAGUCAGGGGUGAAAUCCCGGGGCUCAACCCCGGAACUGCCUUUGAUACUGGUAGUCUUGAGUUCGAGAGAGGUGAGUGGAAUUCCGAGUGUAGAGGUGAAAUUUGUAGAUAUUCGGAGGAACACCAGUGGCGAAGGCGGCUCACUGGCUCGAUACUGACGCUGAGGUGCGAAAGCGUGGGGAGCAAACAGGAUUAGAAACCCUGGUAGUCCCA
This 447-nucleotide ribosomal RNA is filed under the name uncultured organism. RNAcentral describes it as "partial 16S ribosomal RNA". It matches the Rfam family "Bacterial small subunit ribosomal RNA", at positions 334 to 797 of the family's 1533-position model. The record is from RNAcentral.